Molecule: ribosomal RNA, 640 nt
Filed under: uncultured bacterium
Lineage: Bacteria
Description: bacterial SSU rRNA
Rfam family: Bacterial small subunit ribosomal RNA (bases 1-535)
Source: RNAcentral
CCUACGGGAGGCAGCAGUGAGGAAUAUUGGUCAAUGGUCGCAAGACUGAACCAGCCAUGCCGCGUGCAGGAUGAAGGCCCUCUGGGUUGUAAACUGCUUUUCUCAGGGAAUAAACCCUUCUACGUGUAGAAGGCUGAAGGUACCUGAGGAAUAAGCACCGGCUAACUCCGUGCCAGCAGCCGCGGUAAUACGGAGGGUGCAAGCGUUAUCCGGAUUUAUUGGGUUUAAAGGGUGCGCAGGCGGGACCUUAAGUCAGUGGUGAAAUCCCUUCGCUUAACGAAGGAACUGCCAUUGAUACUGAGGUUCUUGAAUCUAGUUGACGUUAGUGGAAUGUGUCAUGUAGCGGUGAAAUGCUUAGAUAUGACACAGAACACCGAUCGCGAAGGCAGCUAACGAAGCUAGUAUUGACGCUCAGGCACGACAGCAUGGGGAGCAAACAGGAUUAGAUACCCUGGUAGUCCAUGCCGUAAACGUUGAUCACUCGACAUUGGCGAUAUACUGUCAGUGUCGACGACGAAGUAGUUAGUUGUAAGUCCGUACCGUUGGGGUUAGGUACGUUCGUUCGCGAGGUUAGGAACGUACGAAGUUAGAGUUAGACGGCGUUGAGACGNGCCGACGGACGACGACGAGGGAGGUUAGG